Molecule: long non-coding RNA, 1631 nt
Organism: Scophthalmus maximus (turbot)
Lineage: Eukaryota; Metazoa; Chordata; Actinopteri; Pleuronectiformes; Scophthalmidae
Exons: 9
Source: RefSeq, a predicted model, not a curated record
CCCACCGACCCCCCUCCCCCCGGGUGUACACCUGAGUCCACCACCUGCCUCCGUCUCAGAUAUACUAAUUGUGUGGGGAGGUAAACACGGCAGUCAAGUGGAGAGGACGGCGAGUGGAGCGUGAAUAUCAAUCUCCCCACAUCAGUGUCAUCGGAUGACUUUGACUGAGUUGAGACGGGGGCUCAUUAGAGUGGUGGAGCUGCGGCGAUGGCAUCCUGGUGGAGGCCUCUGAAGUUGUGGAAGCCUGCAGAGCUCAGGAAGAUGUUACGAGUGAGCCCAUGUGAGCAGAUCCACUGCGGAGUCAUCGCUGUGUCCUGCCCCCUGCGUGAAAUGUUCCUGCUGUUGUGAACUCGUCGGAUACGAGAAAUCCUGCAGCAUUUGGCCAAUAUCAAGGAGCAGGAGAAAAAGGCACAUCGGAGAGGAACAAGAGAAAAGAGACAGAUUGACUGGACAGUGCAGACAACAGGGAAGGCACAGCGGAAUAAGAUCUAUCGGGCUUCGGCUCGCACGGACAGCAACGGGCUCCUCCUCCGUCGCCAUCUGCCCGUCUCCCGCCACCGAGGCAGAAGUCGAGGGCCCCACGGACGCCGACUUUGCCUGGAGAGAUGGGUUCCAGAAGAUCGGGCGUGGAAAAGGGAGGAAGAGAGAUAUCAGAUGGCGAGGCGGCGUUGGAGGCAACCGGCGGGAAUGAAGUGACAGGCCGUGGUGGAGCGCAGGGACAGAAUCAAGAGCCCCUGCAUGGCAGAAGACACCGUCCCCUCGCUCACUUUGCGUGACGCGCCGAGACUGUUGGACAGAUCGGACGCAGGGAGCGAGGGAAAACGUGACAAAAACGGACAUGACGCGGCAGGCGGGGGAAGUCAGGCGCUGGAAUGAUGGGUCACGACGGCAGCUCUGAUCGUGACGCGGACGACAGUAAUGAAGGUAAUGCAUCAUGUGUUCACGAUGUGGAAUUGAAACAUCAACGCUCCGCUCCUCAAUCUGCCACAGCGGCGGGCGCGGAACAUCCAGCCAUGAGACGAUAUGAUGAUGCAGUGUUAUUACCCUCUGGUCAUCUAUUGGAGAUGUGUGACUGCGAUCGAGGCACAUUCCAUCCCGGCACCUCUCUGCUGACAUCCCUGAUUAUCCCCCCCCCCCCUUGUGUGUCUCCUCCCACAUAUGUGGAAAGUAAUCCGAUUCUGACAUUACAGACGAUGACGUCGAUGGCGAUGAUUACAUGCAUGAGAUGAAUGACCCCUCAUCGCUGGCACAUCUCACAAGGCGACUUAACCAGAGUUGCAGUGGCUGGUGAACUUACUCGUGUUCUCUCUUCUCCCCCCCCCCCCGGCAAAUUAACAUUUGGGCAUAGCCUCUUGACUAAUGGACACAGAGCCGAGGGGGAUAACAUGCCUUCCAGCAGCAGGGAUGAGUGCUGAUCCUGAGUAAACAACACGGUGGGAACAGAGUGACCCACCUGUUCCGAACCCCCGUGUCUCUGUUGUCCUUUGCAAAUGGAUAACAGGUGCGUCUGCUCGUGUCGCCUCCUGGCUUGGCGCUUUGCCGAAAAGCUCGAAGAGAAUUAAACGGAGAGAGAGAGAGAGAGAGAGAGAGAGAGAGGCAACGCGUAACAUCACAACUGUAAUUGAAAAGAA